This is a long non-coding RNA of Herpailurus yagouaroundi (jaguarundi), 1792 nucleotides long. RefSeq lists it as uncharacterized. The transcript has 3 exons. The record is from RefSeq and is a predicted model, not a curated record. NCBI's taxonomy places the organism in Eukaryota, Metazoa, Chordata, Mammalia, Carnivora, Felidae.
GAAUCGCCGUGUGAUUCCUGGCACAAGACGCAACGCGAGCCGCGCGCUCGCGAGAUGAAACCCCGCUCCUAAGCGGCGGAUCUCGGGGCUGGGGUCCCCCUGGACCCGCGGAGCUGCCUGCGUUAGCAGGGUCCUGUGAUCAGCGAGUGAUCGGUCCGGGCGGGCCGGGCGGCUGGCGUGAUCAAACGGCCCUGCCGCCGUGUUGACAGAAAGAAGCAAAAAACGAAUGUGAGAAUCAGCGUCCCGGGCGGCAUCCCCGUGACCACGUUCACCGGUCAGCCCCGAAACGGCCACGUUCUCCGACUCAGAGGAUGUUGGCAGUAAGAGAGGAGAGCGUACCCGAGUUAGCUUUGUAAAAAUGUGCGUCUCUGAGAAUCUGAUCCUGUGUCUCACGGCCUCUUGUAGAGACGGAAGGCACUGCGACAGUGUUAAAACCCAGCUGGUAAGUGUGGAGACGUUGGUAGGAGCCCUUGAGUGGAAACGUGUUAGGAACAACAAGACGUGAGCCCUUGUAACUCUCCAAGGAAGGUAUCACGGAGGGCCAUGGGUUGAGCCACGUUGCCUCCUGCCCAGUGGGACCUUAUUUGCAGGUGGGACCUUCACAGAUGUCGUCAAGUUAAGACGAGGUCACUAGGUUGGGUCUGAAUCCAAUGGGGCUCCUGUCCUUACAAGAAGACGAGACCAGAACAGAAGCAUGUGACCACAGGGGCAGAGAUGUGUGUGACGCGUCCACAUGCCCAAGAACACCAAUGAUCACCAGUGGCCACCAGAAGCUGGAGAAAAGCCUUGAGCAGACACUCCCCUGGAGAGACCAGAAGGAGUUACCCGGGGUGACGCCUUGAUUUCAAACUUUUGGUCUCCAGAACUAUGGGAGAAUGAAUUCCUGUCAUCGGAAGCCCCCUGGUCUGCGGAAAUGACGUACCCGGACACAGAGGCUUGUAUUGUCAAUCGACAGGCUCUUACCGUGUGGCUCCCAUCAUCUGUGGGGGGUUAGGAGUCUAACAACUGGGAGUAGAAAAGGAGGUGCCCCCAGAGCAUUGUGUCUGACCCUCCCCCACCCCUAGAACUGCUGAGGCACACCUGCUGUCUUCAGCCACUACCCCUGAAAAGCUCAGUAUUGGUCACCCUGUGUAGGACCAGGGGAAAGAAAGAGAAACCCUUAUAUUUUCAUUGGCUCUUGGUGACCGAAACCCUGCCAAGAACACAAAACACCAGGGUUGCCUGAAAUGUGAGGUUUUCCCAUCCGAAGCUCUUAGCACGGUUCACGCUUCUCCCAACUUCUCACUGACCUCUGCGUCUGCCCUGGUCUUUCCCCAGCCUCCCGGUGCCCCCAUUUUCAAGUUCACUAACCUCCAGCAGAAAGAUCAGCCCGCCGGUGGAUUCCCUCACUGGUUCUCGUCAGUACCGUGACCGCAUAACCUGCUGGUGUGCGUGAAGCUCUGUGGGAAAGACAGGAUUUUGCUGCUGUUUCGUAAAUUUAUAAGUAUCCGUUCGCCGGGGAACAGGUCUGCCUUGGGUUCAACCAUACUGUAACAGGUCAGGUUGCUGACUUCAUGUUGGCUCAACCAAGCUCAUGGUCCUUGCGAUAAUGAGAUGUAUAAAAUGCCAUAACAUGUUUUAACACGAGUGUGUGCCCACAUGGGAAACGUAAAAGAAAAUGGAGACAAUUCAGGGUGUGUUAGAGGUUCUUAAAGAGCAAAGUAGACUUCAAAAGGACCUGGUUAUACAGUAAAACCUUGGAUUUCGAGCGUUCUCCAAGAUGAGCAAACAUGUCUAACAAAUUUUAACUUGA